CGCACCUUGCACUCCUUGGUAUUCCGAGGAGUAUGCUUGUUUGAGAGUAUUGUAAUCAUCAAUCCUCCUUUGCUUUUUUGUGAAGGCUGGCUUGGAAUUGGAGAUUGCUGGCCCUUUAGGUGUCAUGGCUUCUCUUGAAUGCAUUAGUUGAAUGAAGUUGCAACGCUAUGUGUAGUGUGAUAAUUAUCUUCACUGCAUAGUUGUGAUGAAGUUUGACUUCUAACAGUCUCUUCACUGAGACAUCUUUGAACAUUUUACCUCAAAUCAAGUAGGACUACCCGCUGAACUUAA
RNAcentral lists this unclassified non-coding RNA (291 nucleotides) under Corticium sp. (in: basidiomycete fungi). Its description in RNAcentral is "Corticium sp. (in: Fungi) partial contains 5.8S ribosomal RNA, internal transcribed spacer 2, and large subunit ribosomal RNA". Lineage: Eukaryota; Fungi; Basidiomycota; Agaricomycetes; Corticiales; Corticiaceae. The record is from RNAcentral.